RNAcentral lists this non-coding RNA (64 nucleotides) under Cervus elaphus hippelaphus. The record is from RNAcentral. Lineage: Eukaryota; Metazoa; Chordata; Mammalia; Artiodactyla; Cervidae.
GGCUGGUCCAAGUGCAGUGGUGUUUACAAUUAACUGAUCACAGCCAGUUACAGACUUCUUUGCU